Non-coding RNA from Ataeniobius toweri, 77 nucleotides. The record is from the annotation of a GenBank genome assembly. Lineage: Eukaryota; Metazoa; Chordata; Actinopteri; Cyprinodontiformes; Goodeidae.
AGAGGUAACUGUGGUUCAGUGGGAAGAGUAGUCGUUUUGCAAUCGGAUAGUUGUGGGUUUGAUUCCAGCUAUCUCCU